GUCUAUGGCCAUACCACCCUGCAAGCGCCUGAUCUUGGAAGCUAAGCAGGGUUGGGCCUGCUUAGUACUUGAAUGGGAGACUGUCUGGAAAUACCAGGUGCUGUUGGUG
RNAcentral lists this ribosomal RNA (109 nucleotides) under Prolemur simus (greater bamboo lemur). The record is from RNAcentral. Lineage: Eukaryota; Metazoa; Chordata; Mammalia; Primates; Lemuridae.